GGAGGAGCGUCGUUUCCGGUGAAGCGGCAGGACUUCAAAUCCUGUUGAGGUUGCCAGCAAUCUCGGGUGGGUUCGACUCCCAUUCUCCUCCGCCA
This 95-nucleotide transfer RNA is filed under the name Pasteurella multocida. RNAcentral's name for it is "tRNA-SeC (TCA) (tRNA-SeC-TCA-1-1)". It matches the Rfam family "Selenocysteine transfer RNA". Lineage: Bacteria; Pseudomonadati; Pseudomonadota; Gammaproteobacteria; Pasteurellales; Pasteurellaceae. RNAcentral also lists the same sequence under 12 other names. The record is from RNAcentral.